CGUUGUAGGCCUCUCCAGCAUU
RNAcentral lists this microRNA (22 nucleotides) under Xenopus laevis (African clawed frog). RNAcentral describes it as "Xla-Mir-12478-P1_3p* (star (passenger))". The record is from RNAcentral. RNAcentral also lists the same sequence under 1 other name. Lineage: Eukaryota; Metazoa; Chordata; Amphibia; Anura; Pipidae.